GACGAACGCUGGCGGCGUGCCUAAUACAUGCAAGUUGAGCGAUGAAGAUUGGUGCUUUCACUAAUUUGAAGAGCAGCGAACGGGUGAGUAACGCGUGGGGAAUCUGCCUUUGAGCGGGGGACAACAUCUGGAAACGAAUGCUAAUACCGCAUAAUAACUUUAAACAUAAGUUUUAAGUUUGAAAGAUGCAAUUGCAUCACUCAAAGAUGAUCCCGCGUUGUAUUAGCUAGUUGGUGAGGUAAAGGCUCACCAAGGCGAUGAUACAUAGCCGACCUGAGAGGGUGAUCGGCCACAUUGGGACUGAGACACGGCCCAAACUCCUACGGGAGGCAGCAGUAGGGAAUCUUCGGCAAUGGACGAAAGUCUGACCGAGCAACGCCGCGUGGGUGAAGAAGGUUUUCGGAUCGUAAAACUCUGUUGGUAGGGAAGAACGUUGGUGAGAGUGGAAAGCUCAUCAAGUGACGGUAACUACCCAGAAAGGGACGGCUAACUACGUG
RNAcentral lists this ribosomal RNA (497 nucleotides) under uncultured bacterium. RNAcentral describes it as "partial 16S ribosomal RNA". It matches the Rfam family "Bacterial small subunit ribosomal RNA", at positions 28 to 507 of the family's 1533-position model. The record is from RNAcentral.